Molecule: ribosomal RNA, 477 nt
Filed under: uncultured bacterium
Lineage: Bacteria
Description: SSU rRNA
Rfam family: Bacterial small subunit ribosomal RNA
Source: RNAcentral
AGGAUGAACGCUGGCGGCGUGCCUAACACAUGCAAGUCGAACGUCCUGUCUCGCAAGAGGCAGGGAGUGGCGGACGGGUGAGUACCACGUGGGUUAUCUACCGUGAGGUGAGGAAUACCGGCGAGAAAUCGCCGACAAGACCGCAUAGCCUCGGUGCAAGCCGAGGAAAGCUUUCUCGAGAGAGGGAGCGCCACACGAGGAGCCUGCGCCCGAUUAGCUAGCUGGUGGAGUAACGGUUCACCAGGGCGACGAUCGGUAGCUGGUCUGAGAGGACGAUCAGCCACACUGGGAUUGAGAACGGCCCAGACUCCUACGGGGGGCAGCAGUGAGGAAUUUUCGUCAAUGGGGGCAACCCUGAACGAGCAACGCCGCGUGCAGGAAGAAGGUUUUCGGAUCGUAAACUGUCUUUUCGUCGGGGAAGAGGAACGGACGGUACCCGAGGAAUCACGCCCCGGCUAACUACGUGCCAGCAGCCGC